Molecule: ribosomal RNA, 489 nt
Filed under: uncultured bacterium
Lineage: Bacteria
Description: partial 16S ribosomal RNA
Rfam family: Bacterial small subunit ribosomal RNA
Source: RNAcentral
GAUGAACGUUGGCGGCGUGGAUUAGGCAUGCAAGUCGAGCGAGAAGAGUUUGGUAGCUUGCUAUUAAACUCGGAAAGCGGCGAAAGGGAGAGUAACGCGUAGUUAUGUACCCAGGGGUUCGGAAUAGCCACGGAAACUGUGGGUAAUGCCGAAUAACAUCUCCGGAUCAAAGGUGUGAUUCCGCCCUUGGAGCAGACUGCGUCCUACUAGCUAGUUGGCGGGGUAAUGGCCCACCAGGGCAACAAUGGGUAGCGGAUGUGAGAGCAUGACCCGUCUCACUGGGACUGAGACACUGCCCAGACACCUACGGGUGGCUGCAGUCGAGAAUCUUCGGCAAUGGGCGAAAGCCUGACCGAGCGACGCCGCGUGCGGGAUGAAGGCCCUCGGGUUGUAAACCGCUGUCGUAGGGGAGGAAGGCUCCGUGAAGAACGGGGUUUGACCUAUCCUAGGAGGAAGUACGGGCUAAGUUCGUGCCAGCCGCCGCCGUAA